UGAAUACGAGACGCUACGGCGUCGAAGCAGUCUAUGUCAUACUUCCAAGAAAAGCUUGCACUGUCAUAAACAAAUAAUGCCUGUACCAUAACCGACACAGGUGGGUAGGUAGAGUAUACUAAGGGGCGCGAGAUAACCCUCUCUAAGGAACUCGGCAAAAUCACUCCGUAACUUCGGGAGAAGGAGUGCCUUAUUUAUAAGGUUGCAAUAACAAGAUCCAAGCAACUGUUUAUCAAAAACACAGGUCUCCGCUAAGUCGUAAGACGAUGUAUGGGGGCUGACGCCUGCCCAGUGCCAGAAGGUUAAAGAAGAUGGUUAGCAUUAGCGAAGCUGAUAACUGAAGCCCUGGUGAACGGCGGCCGUAACAAUAACGGUCCUAAGGUAGCGAAAUUCCUUGUCGGGUAAGUUCCGACCCGCACGAAAGGCGUAAUGAUUUGGAUACUGUCUCGGAGAGGGGCUCGGUGAAAUAGACUUGUCUGUGAAGAUGCGGACUACCUGCACCUGGACAGAAAGACCCUAUGAAGCUUUACUGUAACCUGAAAUUGAAAUUGGACUUUAUUUGCGCAGUAUAGGUGGGAGGCGUUGAGAAUAUUCUUGCGGGAAUAUUGGAGCCAUCAGUGAGAUACCACUCUUGUAAUGUUAGAUUUCUAACUUUGAAUCAUUAUCUGGUCAAAGAACAGUUUCAGGCGGGCAGUUUGACUGGGGCGGUCGCCUCCUAAAUGGUAACGGAGGCGCACAAAGGUUUCCUCUGAACGGGUAGAAAUCGUAUCUAGAGUGUAAAGGCAUAAGGAAGCUUGACUGUGAGACCUACAAGUCGAGCAGGGACGAAAGUCGGUCUUAGUGAUCUGACGGUGCUGAGUGGAAAGGCCGUCACUCAACGGAUAAAAGUUACUCUAAGGAUAACAGGCUGAUCUCCCCCAAGAGUUCACAUCGACGGGGAGGUUUGGCACCUCGAUGUCGGCUCAUCGCAUCCUGGGGCGGUAGUACGUCCCAAGGGUUGGGCUGUUCGCCCAUGAAAGCGGUACGCGAGCUGGGUUCAGAACGUCGUGAGACAGUUCGGUCCAUAUCCGGUGUAGGCGUUAGAAUAUUGAGAGGAGCCUUCUUUAGUACGAGAGGACCGAGAAGGACAUACCUCUGGUGUACCAGUUAUCGUGCCAACGGUAAACGCUGGGUAGCUAUGUAUGGAGAGGAUAACCGCUGAAAGCAUCUAAGUGGGAAGCCCACCUCAAGAUAAGUAUUCUC
Molecule: ribosomal RNA, 1242 nt
Filed under: metagenome
Description: bacterial LSU rRNA
Rfam family: Bacterial large subunit ribosomal RNA
Source: RNAcentral